Molecule: long non-coding RNA, 893 nt
Organism: Manis pentadactyla (Chinese pangolin)
Lineage: Eukaryota; Metazoa; Chordata; Mammalia; Pholidota; Manidae
Exons: 3
Source: RefSeq, a predicted model, not a curated record
GAGAAGGUGUUCUUGUUAGACUAAAUCAGUUUGGUUUUUGCAAUAGAGGAGAUACUUUUUGUGCUGGACCCAGUACCAAAUAGAAUUUGGAAUUGAAAUGAACUUAAACAGGAAUUCUGGCUUGUAAUGGUAAGAAGGGUUAUUGCUUGAUGUGUACUUGCAUUGGAGAGAGAGUCAAGUUCUGUCAUUUACCACAUCAUACCCACUCUGAAUGAUGCACCAGAGCCAUUCACAUGUGCUGUCUCUUCUAAAAUGUUCUACUCCACCUUGUCACCAAGUAAGACUCUACUUAUCCUGUACGAAGAUAUCAUCAAUAAUCAACUCCUCUCUGAAGCCUUCUUUCAAUGUGUAUUGAACAUGUGAAUAAGGAAGAAGCCAGUUUUUCAGUCAAGAUGUCAAUCCCUUAUCAGAUACAUCAUUUGCAAGUAUUUUCUCCCAUUCCUCAGGUUGCCUUUUUACUCUGGUUGAUAGUGUCUUUUGAUGCACAAUAGUUUAAAAGAAUUGAAAGCAGGGUGUCAAAGGUGUAGUUGAAUACUCAUGUUCAUAGCAGCAUUAUUCUCAAAAGCUAAAAUGUGGAAGCAACACAAGUCUCCAUCCAAUGGUGCAUGGAUAAGCAAAGCAAAAUGUGGUCUCUACAUACCAUGGAAUAUUAGUCAGUCUUAAGUAUGGAAACACUGAGCCAUGCUACAACACAGAUGAACCCCGAGGGCAUUUACUAAAUGAAGUCAGUCAGACACAAAAGACGAAUACUAUAGUAUUUAGAGUAGUUAAAACUAACAGAACAUAGAAUGGUGGUUGCCAGGGGUUAGGGAAAGGAGGGAAUGACAGAAUGAGGAGUUAGUCUAAAGGUACAAGAGUUUCAGUUUUUCAAGAUGAAAAGAGGUCUGGAGAUG